Molecule: long non-coding RNA, 654 nt
Filed under: Salmo salar (Atlantic salmon)
Lineage: Eukaryota; Metazoa; Chordata; Actinopteri; Salmoniformes; Salmonidae
Description: lncRNA (ENSSSAG00000101999.1)
Source: RNAcentral
GUUAUAAAGGGUAAUACGGGUUUUAAAGGGUAAUAAGGGUUAUAAAGGGUAAUAAGGGUUAUAAAGGGUAAUAAGGGUUAUAAAGGGUAAUAAGGGUUAUAAAGGUUAAUAAGGGUUAUAAAGGGUUAUAAAGGGUAAUACGGGUUAUAAAGGGUAAUACGGGUUAUAAAGGGUAAUAAGGGUUAUAAAGGUUAAUAAGGGUUAUAAAGGUUAAUAAGGGUUAUAAAGGGUAAUACGGGUUAUAAAGGGUAAUACGGGUUAUAAAGGGUAAUAAGGGUUAUAAAGGUUAAUAAGGGUUAUAAAGGGUAAUAAGGGUUAUAAAGGGUAAUACGGGUUAUAAAGGGUAAUACGGGUUAUAAAGGGUAAUACGGGUUAUAAAGGGUAAUAAGGGUUAGAGGUAUUUCAGGAAGCUGACACUGAACACUUUUUGGACCCAGCAAUGUUUGCCCAUAGUACAGCCCUUCUUGUCCAGGAAAGCAUAAAUGUAUAUGGUCUUUACACAGCAACAGCUUCAGUACUUCUAAUUGUAGAGGAGUAUGUAAUAGUAUUGUAUAAUACUGUACCGGCGGCAGAAUAUUGCAGUACUGUAUAAUACAGGUGUGUAAAAGUCAACAAGUUAAUUGUGUUGUUGCCUUACCCCUCGUGGUGUUCCAG